CAAUAGCGUAUACUAAUGUUGCUGCAGUUAAAAAGCUCGUAGUUGAACUUCUGGUAGGAGUGUCCCGGCCUUUUUGUUUUUACAAAUUGUAUGCUGUGUGACAUCUCUGGCCAUCCUUCUUCUUUGUUUAAAGAAGAUCUUUCACUGUAAAAAAAUUAGGGUGUUCAAAGCAAAAGCUUCUUUGGAAUAUAUUAGUAUGGGAUGAUAAGAUAGGCUCUAGAUGCUAUUUUGUUGGUUUGCACAUUUAGAGAAUGAUUAACAGGGACAGUUGGGGGUAUUCGUAUUUACAAGUCAGAGGUGAAAUUCUUGGAUUUUGGAAAGACGAACUACUGCGAAAGCAUUUACCAAGGAUGUUUUCACUAA
RNAcentral lists this ribosomal RNA (363 nucleotides) under uncultured eukaryote. RNAcentral's name for it is "partial 18S ribosomal RNA". It matches the Rfam family "Eukaryotic small subunit ribosomal RNA", at positions 592 to 976 of the family's 1831-position model. The record is from RNAcentral.